RNAcentral lists this long non-coding RNA (1776 nucleotides) under Homo sapiens (human). RNAcentral's name for it is "HSALNT0309599". The record is from RNAcentral. Lineage: Eukaryota; Metazoa; Chordata; Mammalia; Primates; Hominidae.
AGGGGUGUGGGGAGCGGAGGGGCUGGGAAAGAGCCUCAGGGGCUGAACUCAGCAGCCUGGUUCCAGCGGUUUCCCGAGAAGCACACAUAUAUUUUGUUUUGAGACUCCCAUAUCUAAAACUGUCCCUCUACCCUUUUACUGGAUUAGUAUUUUGGCAGCACACAGAAUUCUAGGCUAAUUAUGUGUCAUCUGAUGAUUCUAAGCUACCAAAAUGAGUUCUGAUAAGGUGAUACAAGCUCAGUGAUACAGUUUUAGCUAAACUCCGAAAAUUUCUUUAAUGUACGUUCCAUCUUCCCAUAAGCACGGCGACCCCACAAGGAGAAAUUCAUUAUCCUUGUUCUAGAAGAGGCUUUCAUCAUUUUUUUUGCCACUACCUUUAAAAUCAGCACUUAGCUAUUCACCCCAAAUCUACCGAUUCCCACCCAUCCUUCACAUGGAUGCUGCAUUUAUGAACAAGUCUGGUCCAGCUACUUCCACAUUUCAACAGGACAAAUUCUAAACCAUCAGAGUAAUUUUCCAAUCAGAACAAAUACUAACAAGGAAGUGACACACAGCAGUCCGUCCUCUGCUUCCUAACAGGACUCUAUGAGAACAUGGUGAUGUCCUACCACAAAGAAAGCAACACCUGAUUAUCAAUAACUUCUCUGGUCCGGCCAAGGAUGAGCAAGGAACAAAGAGCUUUUAGAACAUUAAGCAUACAUCUAAAUUUAUUUGACCUGAGGAUCCAGCCUGGCCUCUCAAGAGCAGACGCUCACAUGAUAAAACGUGCUGGGAACUCACCAUGUACUCAGCAAAGGGAAGCAAAGGGGUAUUAAUCAAUGUUUUGAUUAAUUACACGUACAUAGAAUUUAAGACAAAGUAAAGGCUCUUCCAUCCCCGCAAGUCCCCAGAGAAAAUUUAUAACAGCAAAGUAUCAUCAUUACUAAAUUAGAGCGUGACCAGAGGGGGAAAAAAAGUUGGCUGAAUGGACCAGCAGGUGAGAUGAAGAGUUGAUUGUCUUCAAACGUAAAAUAUCUCAAGCAAGAAAAGAAGAAAAAAGUCUCUUCAAUAAAUGUUGGCAAUAUUUUCGAGAUUUUUUUCUUUUUUUGGUGCAAGGACAGUAAAGGAAAACAAAGGGCACUCAACUAAUUAGAAGAUAAACUGUGAUUCUCCGAAGAAAACCAGCCCCCAUCUCAGGAAACUUCCAUAGGAGAGGACAUGACUCACCAGUCCAUUCCCAGGUCCAACCACUGUUUCUAAUGAAUGAACUGGCGCUAUUAUUUAAAAGGAUCAGAAUCUAUAGUGAGGUAGUAGAACAGAGUAUGGGGGCAGGGAACCUAAGGCCGAUUCACGCUGACUUCCUAGAACUAAAUCGAACGAAAACCCCAACUUUCCACACCUAAGUAACAAAAGGACCUGAGGCUGCUCCCUUUGCAACCCCCUCCCUGCCUUUUCUGCAAGGCAGAUGGAAAACUGAAAGUGCCUCCACCUGGUUGCUUUCUGCAACCAAUCAAUCAGACAUUUGCAUAGGAGUGUAACUUUGUAACUUUGCUUCAGCCUUUGAUUGGUUGCUUUCCACAACCAAUCAGACUGACCGUAGGCCAAAUCUUCAUUUGCAUAGAAGUGUAACCUUUGUAACCUCACUUCCACCUUGGAUUGGUUGCUUUCUGCAACAAAUCAGACUGACUGGGGGCCAUGACUUCAUUUGCAUGGGGUGUACACCAAAUGGCCAAUGGGAAACCUCUAGAGGAUAUUUAAACCCCAGAAAAUUCUGUUACUGGGUUCUUGAGCCCCUAU